RNAcentral lists this long non-coding RNA (314 nucleotides) under Ricinus communis (castor bean). RNAcentral describes it as "long non-coding RNA (RCOM_LNC001402)". The record is from RNAcentral. Lineage: Eukaryota; Viridiplantae; Streptophyta; Magnoliopsida; Malpighiales; Euphorbiaceae.
GUCACGACCCCACCCGUGGGCCCGUGACCGGCACUAGGGAAUGGGUAGGCGUAAGGCCACCGAAACCCGUAGUAAGCCUGACACUCACUGACUUAAACAAAUCUCAUCUCAAAUUUAUAUUAUUAAAACCACAAAUUAUCUUAAUAGCUACAUUCUACAUAAAUACUUCGGUCUGCCAGAAAAAUUAGGCGAGACCCGAAACUCAUAAAAUUUACAACUGAUACAUCUACUAAUUACUACUGCGGAGAAUCUAAGAUUUACCAAUUUACAUACCAAAUCAAAUACAUCACCAGAUGAUGAAGGAGUCGGGUUAC